Molecule: long non-coding RNA, 369 nt
Organism: Lingula anatina
Lineage: Eukaryota; Metazoa; Brachiopoda; Lingulata; Lingulida; Lingulidae
Source: RefSeq, a predicted model, not a curated record
AUGGCGGAAGGUAUUUGAGUCACCAGUAGACGUCUCCGAGAUAAUCGGCAAGAUAUACAUUAACCAGGUGUAACCGUUGCUUGCUUCCAUGUGCUGAAACAGGUUCAUAAUCCAGGUCCAACUUAAGCAAGCCCAACCAACCAACCCCAAAAUUUUAUAAGCUGCCGUAUCAUCUUAGGAAAUAAAGGCUGUCUUUUGAGGCUAAUGGCGGACAAAAUGAUGACUGGACGGCUCUCUGGGAAAAACCUUGUAUGACAUUGACCAGAAGCAUCUGUUCAUAAUUUUAGAAAUUUAUUCGGUCAGUAUAUACUGCUUCCAGUUGCUUUGGUUCUACUUAUUGUUGAGAUACCUAGAGAUACCUUGGUCUGC